GGGAACAUAACUCAGUGGCAGAGUAGCGGCCUGUUAAGCCGCGUGCCGGAUGUUCGAUCCAUCCUGUUCCCG
This 72-nucleotide transfer RNA is filed under the name Bacteroidota bacterium. Its description in RNAcentral is "Bacteroidetes bacterium (activated sludge metagenome) tRNA-Asn". It matches the Rfam family "tRNA". Rfam says of the family: Transfer RNA (tRNA) molecules are approximately 80 nucleotides in length. Their secondary structure includes four short double-helical elements and three loops (D, anti-codon, and T loops). The record is from RNAcentral. Lineage: Bacteria; Pseudomonadati; Bacteroidota.